CUCUUGAAAAGGGUCUUCCAGAGGUUUAAAAACAGGACGACCAGUAACUCUUGCUCUCCUUUCUCUGAAUCUUCGAGUUAGUUUUGGUUCUUCUUCGUAUCUUUCCGCACCUGCGAACAAAGCUUCUAAAAUUUCCUUUUCAAGACCAGUAUUGUCACUGCCUCCUUCCUGUGAACCAGUAAAGGUUCUUGCACCGUCACUGCAUCAUAGCAAAAAGCAAUUUGAAUAGGAAAUCAUAUAAAGGACUCCCAAGGGAAGGGUUCAAUACAAAGAUUGACUAGAAGAACUGAAGAAGCGUGCCUCUGAGAAAAUUCUUGGAGUUCCACUUGGUUGCGAGAUGUAGAUCUCUGUCUUUGAGGAUAAACUUUUGGCAUCUUUAAGAAGAGGGGAUUAAACCAACAGAGUCAGACUUAGAAAAAGACGUUAUUCGAACACAAAGACCAAACUGAAAGUCAUAGCAAAAGCUCUCAACCUCACUGGAAAUUCCACCAUCAGCAUACUUCUUGGCAUCAGACAAGCCAAUCAGUUUCUCCGUACUCUGCAAUGUAAAAAAGGAUAUAGUGUGGAUGCCAAAAAAAGAAGAAGCAGCAAAAAAAUCCAAAGGCAGGCUCUAUGAAAUACUUACAAGAGCCAUAUGAAAAAAACUAAGAGAUACCACUAACAAUCAAGUGAUAAAAAAUUAGAGGCGACCGUGGGUAUGAAAAGUCAGCUUCAUCUCAAAUUUUAGUCAGUAUUAGUGCCAAGACUGAGAAAAGGAUUGUCAAAGUAGAUCAGGGGUAUAUUUGUAAUUAAAAUAGAUAAAGUAGUAGCUCAAAUUAAGAGUGAUGCAACUAUAGAUCACAGGUAUAAUUAAGCUGAUGGUCAUCUUGAUGAGCUACAAGGUAUGGGGGAAAUGUAAUAUAAUUCAGCCAAGAAAAGGUAAAAACAUAUUAUAAUAUUUAGGAAAUAAUAUAGUGAACAUUACUUUUCAAUAAUACAAAAGUAAUGUGCAAAAGCAAAACGCUGUUAAAGAAACGAAAAUACAUUACUUUCAGAGCUAAGGGAAUCGGCUUACCUUCAUCACAUCAUAUCCGCAUACGCCUGAUAAUUUUGGUGGAAAAGCAGAUUAAGUUUAGCAGCUAGGGUCACUAAUACCAUAUCCAAGAAGAAAAAAGAUCUCAAGGUAAUCAAGUAAAGCUAGAGUAUGCUUACCAAGAACCUGGUGAAUGACAUCUUGGCUAGCUUGAAAGCCUUCUCCAAGCAUCUUGAUAAUGAAUUCCUCAACCUCAGUUGGAGGCCUGUUUAUCUUUGGCUCGUUACUUUUUGGCAUUUCUUCACUCCAUAUCUCCGUUUCUGGAAUAUCCCUUGAGUCUAUCUUCAUUGGCUUAGUUGCUUCUCUGGGAGCAUUUGAUAUUGGCCGGGUUCUAGCAUACUCCUUAUUGAUAACACUUGAAACAGUACCACCAACUGAUAUAGAAUUUUUCUUCGGCCUCCGUACUUUGGCUUUGUUAUCCUCUUGUGGUCGAACUUCUUUAGGAACAUAGACCUGAGUUGGUUUUGAGGUUGCAUUCUUCAUUUCGACUUGGUCACUUUGAGGCGUCUUUUCAGUCAUUGCAGAGAGAAUCUCACCAGCCACAUCGACAUUCUGGCUUGCUUGGUUGUACGUAGCCAUAAUGACAUCAAGAGAAAAACGAGAACCAAAAGCUUCGAGAAGCCCUUGAAAACUUCUUGAAUCAGGAUCACUGUGCGAAGAGCUUGCAAUUGUUGACAUUACUCCUUCUAAUUCACAUUGCAAAACGAAUGGCUCCGUUAGCAAACAGAAGCUAUGCCAAAAUGUACAAUGCUGAAUGAAAAAUCUUCCCGAUAUUACAACCAGAAUGUUAUGCAUUCAAAGCUGCAAAAAGCAAGUUCAAUUCAUCUUCCUAAUAACCAUCACUGACUAGGAAAGCGAAAGCAGAACAUGGCUUGUAAUUAUUCUUCAAAAAGGACAAUACUUUCAGCUUAGAUUCAGACUUCAAUCUCUACUCCUAGUCUCAUACAGAAAAUUGCAUCGAACAAACACCUGGCAGGCAUCAUUUCUGCGACCUAAGUAGAUAAAUGGAAUAGCGAACAGCACAUUUCACUCUACGCAAUCCAUUCAAUGAUCGAUCUUUUCUAAGUUCCGAUGUAAUAACACAACACUGAAACAAAUCAAUGGAAUAGUGAUAUAGCAAAGGGAAGUAUGUGGCACAAUUAGGGAAACACACAAUCAAAGCGAAUAAUGUGAAACCUUGAGAAUCAGCAAUGUUUUCAUAAAAAAGAGCCAACUCGAACUCGUUUCGAAACCGCAUUACGCCAUAGAUAAGACCUCGUUUCCAACAAUCAGCAAUGCGAAUAGAAAGAAAUAAGUAAAACGGAGAGUGUAAGUAAGAGUGCGCUUACCGAAAUCGAUGUAGCCGGAGCCGUAAAGAGAGGGUUCUUUUAAUCGAGAAUCUAAAUUGCUUUCGAAAAGAUCGCAACUUGUGGAAUCGCCCCGAGAAGGAGAAAAAAAGAAUAGAAUUUUGCAGAAAAAAAAUAGUCAAGUAGGGAGAUGCCUUAUUAGGUGCAUGAGAGGAGAAGUGAAGCAAAAAGCAAGCGCCUUUGCUUCGUCCAACUCCGCUGUUUACAAGAAAGUGACAAUCUUUUUUUUGUUCUUUUGUUUUCUAUAAAGUUUGAAAAUGCAAUUGCAAGAGCCAAAUUGCCAACAAAUAUUUAACAUUUUUGAGUCGAUAAGGUACACAUUACAUGUGCGAAUGUUAUUGAGAAUUUUACAGAAUGCUAUUGAAGAACAGAAAACGAUAAGUGUGAUUUUUGAAUACUUAAAAGACUGAUAGUCAAGUUUCAUAUAUUGCUGACUAAUCCUCCAUAAGUUUUUUUCUCAUCAAAAUAUCACUCCUUGUUUUGUAUUUUACAAAUUAGCCCAUUUUUUUAAUUCAUUCCUCGUUCCUUCUUCUUCCUCUUCCUCUCACCAGUCAUUUUCUCGAUUCUCACUCUUCUGGUCGCCGACUAAUUUCUGGUAAGCUCACACUCCUUAUGCUCAUAAAUAGUUCCUUGAUCUACGCUACGACCAAUUCCAAAAAUUUUGCUCUUUCUCUUAUUACUUCUUUCUCCAGGUUAUAUAUAUAGAAUUGGGUUUAUCUCUAAAAUCUCCGAUACUUAGCAGAGCUCUUCAGGAUUUCGAGUUUGAUUUGAUGUUUUGAAAUCAUGAAUUUUGCUUUUCCAGUGGUUAAAACUAGCUUUGUUUGCUGAGAAAAGUAUGGGAUCGAGAGGAUUUAUUAACGAUAAGUGGUCAAUGAGGAUUUUAUGGGGUUGUGCAAUCGGCAGUGCCAUUGGUAUGGUCGUUUCCCACAUUUCUGAUAUUAGAGAUUUUGGAUUUUUGUUCCUCAAAUUCAUGAGCUUUUGGUUUCUCUGAGACACCCUUUUUAAACCCACAAAUGUGUAGGUUUAUACAUGGUUGCUGUAGAAAGACAAACUCAGAACAGGGCUCGUGCUAUGGCUGAGGGUUUGAGAGCUGCAGAAUCACAAGGUGAUGGCGAUAGUGUCUAAGUCUAUCUAUCAAGUAGUGCUCAGUUGAGUUUUUUGUUGUUUUGUUUUUGUUAUAAUGGCUGCUUCUUCCAAGAUUGUGUUGAUGUAGUUUCUGAAACUUGGAUAGUAGAAGUUGCUAAACAUACAAUUUGUGUUGUGGAAUAAAGGUUCUUUCUUUCGCCUGUCAUGCUAUGUGUGUGAAUUGAUUUUUAAUGCGCAAUUUCAGCAAGGCAUCUUGCGUUUACCGGAUGUGUAUUCUCUUAAGUAAAAGUCUCCCCUCCUAUAAAAGCAUGAGGGAUCAUUCAUCCGAAAUGUACAGCAGGAUUAACUUAUUACAUAGAAAUAAUGGCACUGGGACACCAAGGCAAAUGCUUUGGGUUCGUCCUCUUACUAUGCUUCUUCAGUUCAACUUUCGCACGCAGGAUUCUGAAGGAUCUCCCUAUGAUGGAGCCAAGCCAGCUAGAUCUAAACAAUGCAAUGAAGCCUGGGAUGGAUGUGCCACACCCAGCCCAUGAGGUACGACCUGAGCACAAAGUCAAGCCUGACACUAAACUGCAGUACAUGUCGGGUGUAUCAGAAAAUCCUGAGCACAAAGUCAAGUCUGACCUUGAACUUCAGUUGAUGUCCGGUGUAUCAGAACAUCCCGAGCACAAGGUCAAGCCUGACCAUAAACUGCAAUCCAUGUCCGGUGAAUUAGAACAUCCUGAGCACAAGGUCAAGCCUGACCAUAAACUGCAGUCCAUGCCUGGUGAACCUAAUGAACCAGAUGAUCCUGACCACACAGUUAAGCCUGAUCAGAUAAUGCAGACCAUGGUGAAUGAACCGGAUCCUGACCACACAGUUAAGCCUAAUCAGAUAAUGCAGACCAUGGCGAGUGGACUAGAAGAUCCUGACCACACUGUAAAGCCUAUGGGGUAUGGUGUAGGUAGGGGUUAUGGAAGUGGUGGCUCUGGUGUUGGGUAUGGUGUUGGUUAUGGCAGUGGAGGCAGUGGCUUUGGGGAAGGAAUUGGCUCUAGUGGAGGCAGUGGCUUUGGAGAAGGAAUUGGCUCUAGUGGAGGCAGCGGCUUUGGUGAAGGAAUUGGGUAUGGUGGUGGUUCAGGUAUUGGCAUUGGAGAAGGAAUAGGAUCUGGGUCUGCCCAACCCAAUUGUGGUCCUAUAACGGGAGCUCCAGGUAGCGGAUUUGGUGAAGGCAUUGGACAAGGUAGUGGUCCAGGCGAAGGGAUUGGUAUCGGUAUUGGACAGGGCUCUAGUGGUGGACCAAGUGUAGUUGUCCCAGGCACAACAAUCCCUCCCAUAGUGGUUCCAGGCGCACAGAUUCCCGGCUUUGUGAUUCCAGGAGUAACAGUUCCUGGUUACGGUUCUGGCUGCCAAACAGGUGGCUGCAAUCCGAAUCCACCACACUACUAUAACCCACCAAGCUGUCCCCAUUGCCCACCUUUCACUUCCGGACAAGACAAGCACAUGUCAGACAAAGGAACCAUGACCGAAGCUCUUGCACCAACUUCACUGGAGAUGCAUGUCUAAGCUAGCUUCAAGUGUCCUUGAAACACCAGUUAAAUAAAUCUCUCAUAAUGAAAUAUAUUUUGGUUUGAUAAAAGCUUCACAUAAAGUUGAAUAAGGUAACUUUACUGCACAAGUAAAGUUCAAUAAGGGAAAAUUAUUUAAGAAUAAGAACGAUGAAAGAAUUAGGCAACUGAUACUUGCAUUUCCAUGGCUGUAGCCUCUGUGGCAAAAUGAGUUUUAAAUUUAAUAAACCGGCCCACAAACUCCGUGAAGUUUUUAUAUUUUUUUUGUAAAUGAAAUCUAAAGAGAGAAUUUUUUUCGUAAAGCAUUAAACUUUCCGAAAGGAGAGUAGUGCUGUAAUAACAUAUCAUCUCCGACGACAGAGAAGAAGAAGAAGAAGAAGAAGAGCUACGAAGUGAGAGGGAUUUGUGUGUGAUAAUGGAUCGGAUUCUGAAGGCCGCUCGAACAUCUGGUUCGCUGAAUCUUUCCAAUCGAUCUCUUCGGUAAGAUCCAUUUUUAUAGUUUUCUUANNNNNNNNNNNNNNNNNNNNNNNNNNNNNNNNNNNNNNNNNNNNNNNNNNNNNNNNNNNNNNNNNNNNNNNNNNNNNNNNNNNNNNNNNNNNNNNNNNNNNNNNNNNNNNNNNNNNNNNNNNNNNNNNNNNNNNNNNNNNNNNNNNNNNNNNNNNNNNNNNNNNNNNNNNNNNNNNNNNNNNNNNNNNNNNNNNNNNNNNNNNNNNNNNNNNNNNNNNNNNNNNNNNNNNNNNNNNNNNNNNNNNNNNNNNNNNNNNNNNNNNNNNNNNNNNNNNNNNNNNNNNNNNNNNNNNNNNNNNNNNNNNNNNNNNNNNNNNNNNNNNNNNNNNNNNNNNNNNNNNNNNAAACGACAGGGGAAGGAGAAAACUGGUGGGAGGUGAUAAGCUUUUUUUCGAUUUUGGAAUUAUUUUCGGGUGCAUUGUUCUGUCAUCAGAUUCUUGACUGGAUAAAUGUCCCCAUUUUGUAGGCUGUUGAUUUGCAGAAGUUGAUUUUGGCACAUAAUGACAUUGAGGUUUUAAGGGAAGAUCUUAAGAACCUUGCCUGUUUGGUUGUGCUAAAUGUCAGUCACAAUAAGUUGUCUGAACUUCCAGCAGCUAUUGGGGAGUAAGUAUUUCUGAAUCUUUGUAGUUGGGUUCCACUCUGUUUAGCUUGAUAAUGUCCAAAUGUUUGUUCUCUUAAAUCAUUCAUAGGCUUACAGCAAUGAAGUCGUUGGAUGUGUCCUUCAACUCAAUAUCAGAACUUCCUGAGCAAAUUGGUUCAGCAAUUUCUCUUGUCAAGUAGGUUAAGUUCUGUGGUUUGACUUAAAUGAAGGCAUUUGGCGCAUUCAAACAGUUCAUAAUUGAUUAAUCUCCCUGUUAUCGCUUCAGGCUUGACUGUUCAAGCAAUCGGCUUAAAGAAUUGCCAGAAUCUCUUGGAAGGUGUUUAGACUUAUCCGAUUUGAAGGUUGUUCUAUGUUGCUUCUGGAUCAGUUGAUUUUUGUUUACUUCUCUUUCAUGGAAAUGAUUGUGCUUAUUGUUAUCCACAGGCCUCAAAUAAUCAAAUUUCCAGUUUGCCAGAAGACAUGGUGAACUGUUCAAAAUUAUCUAAACUGGAUAUGGAGGUAUUAGUGUAGAACUUUUCUAGAGUCUAAAGUGGCUACUUGGCAUUUCUUUUUUCUCCUUUCACUAUCUUCCAAGUGCAGUACUAUGGCCAGCCUGGAAGAAGGAAAUGGUAUUUAAAGCUAUGUUUGGGUAAAGCAAGAGGAUUUACCGUAGUUUAAAUUAAACCUAUUGCAGGGAAACAAGCUCACAGUUCUCUCUGAGAAGCACAUAGCAUCAUGGACCAUGCUUACAGAACUUAAUGCAUGUAAUGAUAUUUAGUUUUUCUUUUACGUUUCUUACAUAUUGAGAGAUUCUGGGACACAUUUUAAUUUCUUUUCCUUCUGCAGCUAAGAAUAUCUUGGGUUGUCUACCACAAAAUAUCGGAAGCCUUUCGCGUCUUAUCCGGCUUGACCUUCAUCAGAACAGUAAGUGUAAACUGAGAAGAUACUAUUUCUGCCAUACCUUUUUAUGUAAUAUAAAACUUAUUUCUUCUAUGUAAUUGUUGAAUUGUUUACAUAUUUGAUUCAUGCAGAAAUCUCUUUUGUUCCACCAUCAAUAGGCGGUUGCUCCUCCCUUGUGGAGUUCUAUUUGGGGUCAUUCUCAACUACGUUUUAUUCAGAAAGAUUGUUUGGAAUUACUUGGAAUCUAAUUAGAGACUUUCACAACUGACAUGCUUCUUUCUGUGUACUUAAUUCCAGAAUUAACUUGCUAUCAACAUUACCAGCAGAGAUUGGAGAUCUAUCACGUCUAGGAACAUUGGAUCUUCGUUCUAAUCAGGUUUGUGCUCCUUUCUUUGAUGGAUAUUGUUUUCUGACAUUCUAUAUAUAAAUUUUCGAACCUUUAUCUAUUGACAAUGGCUUUCUAAAUAGUGGUCUACACACUUGUGCUUUCUCCCAAUUUUCAGCUCAAGGAAUAUCCAGUUGGCGCAUGUAAACUGAAGCUCUCGUACCUAGAUCUUUCAAAUAAUUCAUUGACAGGAUUGUAUCCUGAGCUUGGUAUGAUUAACAAACAGCACUAACCAUUUCUUCAUCCCCUGUUUGCUAAGAAAUUUACAUAUGGCAUCAUAAGAAUAACUAUUAGCAUAAAACUUCUUGUCCUCACAUUUAUAGGAAACAUGAUUACUCUGAGAAAGCUUGUGCUUGUUGGGAAUCCUUUGAGAACCCUUAGAAGGUUUCAUUUUACCGUCUCUGUCUGCUUUCUUGAUUGCCUGGUCUUAAUUAUUGCUACUUAAAGAGGCCAAACAUUCUUUCCUUUUUUUUGCCUCCAGCACAUUAGUAAAUGGCCCUACAGCUGCUCUACUGAAGUAUCUUAGGAGCCGCCUUUCUGAUAGUGAAGGUACUUUUUUCCAUUGUCCCUCUUUGUCUCUCAUCUAAGUGGUCACGGCUAAGUAGCUAACUGUAAAAGGUUUCCAAUUAUAGAAACAAGUGCAAGCACUCCAACAAAGGAAAAUGUAAUUGCUUCAGCAGCUCGUAUGUCUAUUUCUUCAAAGGUAAGUGAAACAACAUAUUUGAGCACCAUUGUGUUAAGAAUUCCAUGUCCUUAAUAGAAACAGGAAAUCAUUAUCUUAAUUGAUUGCACAAAACUCAGGAACUUUCUCUGGAAGGUCUCAACUUGAGUGCUGUCCCUUCAGAAGUUUGGGAAUCUGGUGAGAUCACGAAAGUUAAUCUUUCUAAAAACUCUAUCGAGGAGUUGCCUGCUCAACUUUCUUCAUCUGUUUCCCUUCAGGUAAUAGGGUUUCCGGUUUGCCAUAUAUAUACUUCUUAAAUAUACAAAGAAGGUGCUACAUAUCUCUUUGCUACAUAAAAGAUCUAUCAGUUAUUGUUAUUGAACUCAUACUAUAUUUGCAAUCGCAGACUUUGAUUUUGUCACGGAACAAGAUUAAAGAUUGGCCAGGUGCGAUCUUGAAGUCACUUCCCAAUCUUGUGUGUUUGAAGUUGGAUAAUAAUCCCCUGAAGCAAGUAUGUUCAAAGAGAAUAAUAUUUAUAAAGUUGAUUAUAGCCUCCACCAAGACCUAAUGCAUCACAUUUUAUUAUUUGCUCGUAAGAUUCCACUAGAUGGGUUUCAAGCAGUCUCUGGGCUUCAGAUUCUAGACCUAAGUGGUAAUGCAGUUUUCAGAGAGCAUCCUAAGUUUUGCCACUUGCCACAACUGCAAGAGCUUUAUUUGAGGUUGGUUAUUAUACUUUAUAUUAUUCAGCGUCCAUAUAUUAUUCACUGGUUUAAGAUACCUUAUACUGACCUUAUACCUAACUUGACAGUCGGAUCCAGCUAUCUGAAGUCCCUGAAGAUAUCCUCAACUUAUCUAACCUACUCAUCCUUGACUUGAACCAGAAUUCACUUCAAUCGAUUCCCAAGGUAAAAAUAUGGCUAUGUGCUCUACUUUGUGGUUUUUACUGUAGAAUUGCUGCUGAAUCUGUGAUUGAAAUUUAGUGUAACCUGGCAGCAAUCAGCUAGUCAACCAAAGUUUUCAUGUAAUGUUAGUGUAACCUGGAAACAAUCAGCUAGUUAAUCAAAGUUUUCAUGUACUAUUAUUGCAUUGGAUCUGUUUUUCCCAUGCAGGGCAUCAAGAGCAUGACUUCACUCAAACAUCUGGACAUAUCCAACAACAAUAUUUCAAGUCUUCCCCCAGAACUGGUAAGUCUCUGUUGCUUUUCUUAACUGAAACAUAUAGACAUGUAUAAAGUGUAAUAAGAGUCGUGUAUUGUUCCUUAGGGUUUGCUUGAGCCUACACUUGAGGUUCUACGACUUGACGGGAACCCAUUAAGAAGGUAUUUUUUCCAAAUCAUAAAAACUGAUACAUUAAUAAAAACAAUAAUUUCCCAGAUUUAUUGAUUUUAUCUUUCACCAACAUUCUUGAAACAGCAUCAGGAGGCCAAUUCUAGAAAGGGGAACAAAAGCUGUGUUGAACUACCUGAAAGACAGACUUCCAGAUCAGUAGCUUCACAACAUUAACAUCAAUAUACCUAUGUUGUUGUUUGUAACAUAUGCGUGAAGCAGCACCAGAUUGAAUUUUAUUGAUGAGAGAUGAAAUAACAUAUUGUAAGAGAUUUUACUUUUUGUUGUUGUGUAUUCGGGUACGUCAUUUGUUGUACGUGAUUUGUACUACAAAUUCAGGUCUCCUAUGACUUCAACAGGAAAAAACUUGUAAAAAUUGGUUGUUUAUGUUUCUCCAUCCUUCAUUGUCGAAAGCAAACUUAUAUUGCAGAGUACAGAGUAUUUCUUCUUUUGGCAUCCACACUAUAUUCUUCAUUAUAUUGCAGAGUACAGAGAAACUGCUUGACUUGUAUGAUAACAAGAAUUAUGCUGAUGUUGGAACUUCCACUGAAGUUGUGAGCUUUUGUUAUGACUUUUAGUUUGGUCUUUGUUAUAGACGACUUCUUCUAAAUAAGACUCUCUUGCUCUGUUCCCUUCUUUAUAUAGAUAUCCUCAAAGACAAGGAUCUACCUCCUGCGACCAAGUAGAACUGCAAGAAUUUUAUACCAAACCCUUCUAUUGGCAAAUCCUUCAGAAAUUUUUAUUACUCUUCUCUGCAAGGUUCACAGGAAGGAGGCAAUGCUAAGAAUGGUCUUGGAGAGGAAGUUUUUUUUUUAGAAGUUUUUUUUUUUUGCAGAUGCAGAAAUAUACGAGGGAGAGCCAAAAAUAACUCUAAAGAUUUGGAGAAAGGAGAGCACGAGUUGCUGGUCAUCCUGUUUUAGAACCUCUGGAAGACCCUUUUCAAGAGAGAGUAGUUGCUGUGAAACAACCGUCACAUACAUCUAAUGAAGUUGGAAUCUCUAGCUAUGAAUGUGAUUGUGUACAAAACCAUCCCAUUCUUAGCAGAUGAACUUUGUCUCUGAAUGGAAUAGUUUGGUGAUGUCUACCUUUGUUUCUAGAUUUUGCAAUGUGAGAAAACAAAGAUAUAGUUUCACAGAUAAGAAUCCCACGCUUGUCCUCUCAUUUGAUUGCUACUUUAAGAAUGCCAACAAUGGAAAAACUCUUACAAAUUGUUUGUUUCUCCAUCUUCAUUGUCUAAUGCUGCUAACCUAAACUUAAGAAUCUUAUGGAGUUUGGCAACAGGUUCAACUAUCUUCUUCUUCUGUGGCAUCUGGUUUUCACUCGCUGAAACUUCCUCUACACAAAAUGAAGAAACAGUAACUCAAAACCAGCAGCAAAAAAUAAAACAUCCAAGGGACAAGAAACUAUAACUUGAAACAAUGUCCAAAACACAUGUUCCUN
This 10846-nucleotide long non-coding RNA is filed under the name Capsella grandiflora. Its description in RNAcentral is "long non-coding RNA (CGRA_LNC001556)". The record is from RNAcentral. Lineage: Eukaryota; Viridiplantae; Streptophyta; Magnoliopsida; Brassicales; Brassicaceae.